RNAcentral lists this ribosomal RNA (119 nucleotides) under Pteropus alecto (black flying fox). The record is from RNAcentral. Lineage: Eukaryota; Metazoa; Chordata; Mammalia; Chiroptera; Pteropodidae.
AUCUAUGGCCAUGCUACCCUGAACAAGCCCAAUCCCGUCUGAUCUCAGAAGCUAAGCAGGGUCGGGCCUGGUUAGUACUUGGAUGGGAGACCACCUAGGAAGACCAGGUGCUGUAGGUG